CACCGCGGUUAUACGAGAGGCCCAAGUUGACAGGUGCCGGCGUAAAGAGUGGUUAAGGAAAGAUACAAACUAAAGCCGAACACCUUCAGAACUGUCAUACGUUUCCGAAGGUAUGAAGCCCUACCACGAAAGUGGCUUUAUUCCCCCUGACCCCACGAAAGCUGUGAAA
Molecule: ribosomal RNA, 169 nt
Filed under: Aequidens metae (yellow acara)
Lineage: Eukaryota; Metazoa; Chordata; Actinopteri; Cichliformes; Cichlidae
Description: partial 12S rRNA
Source: RNAcentral